RNAcentral lists this long non-coding RNA (819 nucleotides) under Elaeis guineensis (African oil palm). Its description in RNAcentral is "long non-coding RNA (EGUI_LNC076323)". Lineage: Eukaryota; Viridiplantae; Streptophyta; Magnoliopsida; Arecales; Arecaceae. The record is from RNAcentral.
CAUGCGCUACUUCCACCGUCUCCGCAACAAGUUCUACCGCCCCACCGUCGACCGUCUCUGGUCCCUUGGCCCCGACGGCGUUAAGGAUCCCGUCAUGACUUGUGACGUCUAUUCUGCCCUCUUGACCGGUAUUGCCCCGCCUUACUGCUCCGAAAUUCGCAGGCAGAAUAGCUUCUACAACAGCCCCCGAUAUUAAACCCCUGUUGUUGAAGGAAUUCUUCCUUGGGCCCCCUCUGGGAUGAUGGAGAUUCUCACCGACCGUCGUCCUCCUCCUCACCUUCCUCCGAACCCUAACAAUCCCCUCAAGAACAGCCUCCAGAGUUGAGGACAUGGUGUGGAAACCCUCAGAGAAGGAUUGAUGGGCAAAAGGCAGCGGGAAUUGGCACGAGGGGAGCAAGACUCUCAGGGGAAAAGAAGAACGCCAGGAUGAGACCGUGAAUGUAUCGAAGGGUUUAAAUAGCCGGCGGAUCCUGGCGCAGUUAUGACGGCGAGAAUUCCUGGGCCAGAUGGUGUGUGCCGCGUGUCAUGCUUAUCCGCUUCGCUGCUAUCGAGGGUUGACCGCUCACAGAUUCCCACAGAGCGACGCCUGGGAUCGUGUUUCAACGGGGGUUUCGAAAAGACUUUUCAAGUCACCUUUGCCAAAAAACGGAUUCUGACAUGCGCACAUUAAGUGGGGGCAGCUGCGCACAGGGAUCGAGGGGGCAAUUUCGGCUGUGCAUCUCUCUCUUUGUGUACUUCCUUCGCUUGAAAUUCAAACUUGGAAGUAGGGGGACUGGUGUUGGGUAUGAAAUACCCGCGGUGUUGGGUAUGAAAUACCCG